This 107-nucleotide small nuclear RNA is filed under the name Sus scrofa (pig). Lineage: Eukaryota; Metazoa; Chordata; Mammalia; Artiodactyla; Suidae. RNAcentral also lists the same sequence under 1 other name. The record is from RNAcentral.
GUGCUUGCUUUGUCAGGACACAUGCUAAAAUUGUAAUGAUACAGAGAAGAUUAGCAUGGCCCCUGUGCAAGGAUGACACAGAAAUUUGUGAAUCGUUCUAUAUUUUU